AGACGGAGGGGGCUAGCGUUGUUCGGAACUACUGGGCGUAAAGCGCGCGUAGGCGGACCAUCAAGUUGGGCGUGAAAGCCCUGGGCUCAACCCAGGAAUUGCGCUCGAAACUGGUGGACUAGAGUCCGGGAGAGGAUAGUGGAAUUCCCAGUGUAGAGGUGAAAUUCGUAGAUAUUGGGAAGAACACCAGUGGCGAAGGCGGCUAUCUGGACCGGUACUGACGCUGAGGUGCGAAAGCGUGGGGAGCAAACAGGAUUAGAAACCCCAGUAGUCC
RNAcentral lists this ribosomal RNA (274 nucleotides) under uncultured bacterium. Its description in RNAcentral is "partial 16S ribosomal RNA". It matches the Rfam family "Bacterial small subunit ribosomal RNA", at positions 523 to 796 of the family's 1533-position model. The record is from RNAcentral.